Molecule: ribosomal RNA, 460 nt
Filed under: uncultured bacterium
Lineage: Bacteria
Description: bacterial SSU rRNA
Rfam family: Bacterial small subunit ribosomal RNA
Source: RNAcentral
CCUACGGGGGGCAGCAGUGAGGAAUAUUGGACAAUGGGCGCAAGCCUGAUCCAGCCAUGCCGCGUGCAGGAUGACGGUCCUAUGGAUUGUAAACUGCUUUUGCACAGGAAGAAACAACAUUACGUGUAAUGUCUUGACGGUACUGUGAGAAUAAGGAUCGGCUAACUCCGUGCCAGCAGCCGCGGUAAUACGGAGGAUCCAAGCGUUAUCCGGAAUCAUUGGGUUUAAAGGGUCCGUAGGCGGUUUAGUAAGUCAGUGGUGAAAGCCCAUCGCUCAACGGUGGAACGGCCAUUGAUACUGCUAGACUUGAAUUAUUAGGAAGUAACUAGAAUAUGUAGUGUAGCGGUGAAAUGCUUAGAGAUUACAUGGAAUACCAAUUGCGAAGGCAGGUUACUACUAAUGGAUUGACGCUGAUGGACGAAAGCGUGGGUAGCGAACAGGAUUAGAUACCCCAGUAGUC